This is a long non-coding RNA of Microtus oregoni (creeping vole), 957 nucleotides long. RefSeq lists it as uncharacterized. Lineage: Eukaryota; Metazoa; Chordata; Mammalia; Rodentia; Cricetidae. The transcript is spliced from 8 exons. The record is from RefSeq and is a predicted model, not a curated record.
CGGGUGUUGCUCCCCUAGAAACAGAUAUGCAGUCCAUUGUGGGCCAGCAAGUGAGUGCUGAGAACCCAGUCCGGGUCUUCUGUAAGAGCAGCAAGUCCUCUUAACCAUGGGGCCAUCUCUGCAGUCCAAGUCAUCAAAUAUUAAACGUUAUAUAUUUGGGAAUGUGAUGGUCAGAUGACAAUUAACAUAUCAAGAAAUUGGGAAAUACUUUUCCAAGUCUCUGUCCUGUUUUCCAUGGCCACCAGCAGUGGGUAUGAGAGUUUCAUCCUCCACAACCUGCCAGGACAUUCAAGAAGCCUCAGCCCAACUGAUAGAGCCAAAAUUACCUGCAGAUAUGAUGCAACUAUUCCUAAAAACAUCUCAAAUAUUUUGAAGUUGCAAGUUAAUUAUGAGAAAAGAAACAAAUGUCCAACACCCAGUUUGGGGGAAAUUUUCUAAGGCAGCCACAGGUCUAAUGUUUGCCCAAAUGGAAUCUUUGGAAUCAUAGAGAUACUCCUUCACCUCCCAGCCAGCUCCAUCAGGUCUCUUCUAUGAUAAGAACAACAGGAAGGCAGAGAGAACACGCAGAAGGUUGACAAGAAGCUGACAUGAGCCCUUGUUUCCAUAGAACAGGGGAGAAAACAGUGAACUCUCCAUGCAAAACCAGCUCCUGGAGAAGAACCAAGUGUGGUGUGGUCUUGUCAGCCUGUUACCUGAGCAAGAGUGACAAGAUCAUGUGGGACUCACCAGGAUCUGGGUCAUUGUUCUGCACACACAACCACAGAGAGUACAACAGCAGCCUCCAGUCCCUUGUUGCUGACCUUUGAGGAAGCUGGGCAUGUAAGGCCAGUUGGAAACCUUGUCUAAGAAAAACAUCAGGGGGAUGGCGCCUGAGUUACAGCACCGGAGGCUGUCUUCUGUCCCCUGACCUCACGCGCGCGCACACACACAAACACACACACACACAAUUGCUCACGC